Molecule: long non-coding RNA, 819 nt
Filed under: Homo sapiens (human)
Lineage: Eukaryota; Metazoa; Chordata; Mammalia; Primates; Hominidae
Description: non-protein coding lnc-ARF1-3:2
Source: RNAcentral
ACAAGAACCCAGGCGGGGCCGGCGAGCAGGUGACCUCCGUCCCUACCGGGAGGACCAGGGCGGGCCGGCGAGGUCGAGGGGGACCCGCGGGUCUGAGGGAGGACGGAGUGGGGGAGUGCUGAGGGAGGACCCGGGGUGGGGAGCUGAGGGAGGAUCCGCAGGGCUGAGGGAGGAUCCAGGAGAGCUGAUAGAGGUCCCGGAGGGCUGAGGGAGGACCCAGGGGUCCUGAGGGAGGACGCAGGGGGCUGAGGGAAGACGCAGGGGGGCUGAGGGAGGAUCCUCGGAGCUGAAGGGGCAUCAGCUGGGCUGAGGGAGGACCCAGGGGGACUGCGGGAGCACCCGGGCGGGGGCUGAGGGAAGGAGGAUCCGCGGGGCUGAGUGGGCACCAGCUGGGCUGAGGGAGGAUCCAGGGGGAGCUGCGGAAGGAUCUGCGGGGCUGAGAGAGGAUCUAGAAGGGGUGAGAGAGGUCCCAGGAGGCUAAGGGGGGAAUCUGCAGAACUGAGGGAGGUCCCAGGGGGCAGUGAGGGAGGAUCCAUGGGCGCUGAGGUGGGAAUCUAGGGAGGCUGAGGGAGGAUCUGUGGGGAUGACGGAAGUUCAAGGGGGGCUGAAGAGGCACGCAGCGGGCUGAGGAGGACCUGAGAGGCUGAAGGAGGAUCCGAAAGGCUGAUACAGCGGGGCUGAGGGGGGAUCCGCGGGGUUGGCGGGGGCUGAGAAAUGACCCUGUAGUUCACAGCAAAAUGGAGUAAUUUAUGUCACAACGUAACCAAAAUGGAGUGGGGAGGGCCCUAAGGAAGCAGCUGUCACGCAUUUCUGAAAUGC